RNAcentral lists this ribosomal RNA (452 nucleotides) under uncultured Bacteroidota bacterium. RNAcentral's name for it is "bacterial SSU rRNA". It matches the Rfam family "Bacterial small subunit ribosomal RNA", at positions 46 to 496 of the family's 1533-position model. Lineage: Bacteria; Pseudomonadati; Bacteroidota. The record is from RNAcentral.
GCUUAACCAUGCAAGUCGAGGGGUAACGGGGAAGCUUGCUUCCGCCGACGACCGGCGCACGGGUGCGUAACGCGUAUACAAUCUACCUUGUACUGGGGUAUAGCCUUUAGAAAUGAAGAUUAAUCCCCCAUAGUCUCUUAGAGUGGCAUCACUUCUAGAGUAAAGGUUACGGUAUAAGAUGAGUAUGCGUUCUAUUAGUUUGUUGGUGUGGUAACGGCACACCAAGACUACGAUAGAUAGGGGCCCUGAGAGGGGGAUCCCCCACACUGGUACUGAGACACGGACCAGACUCCCACGGGAGGCAGCAGUGAGGAAUAUUGGACAAUGGAGGCAACUCUGAUCCAGCCAUGCCGCGUGCAGGAAGACUGCCCUAUGGGUUGUAAACUGCUUUUAUACAGGAAGAAACACCUCUACGUGUAGAGGCUUGACGGUACUGUAAGAAUAAGGAUCGG